CUCCAGCCAUUGGGCGCGGGACCCAGACGUCCCCGGCGCCCAGCCCCCCUCUCCACGCCUCUCCAGCGCGCUCCGCUCUCGGGACCGCACUUACCGGGAACUCGCCGCCCGCGGGCCGGGGCUGCCGCGCUCGCAGGGUGCUGCGGGGACCCUCCUGCUGCCGCCGCCCCCGCGUCCCUCAGGCGCGCCUGGCCCGGCGCUGAGGAUGCGGGAAGGGGGGCGCGCACCCUCUCCCCCUUCUACUCCCCCUGCCAGGGCCGCCCCCGCCGCCGCUCGGCCUCCUGGCGCGCCAGCCCCAGCGCCUCCCUAGAGCGCCCUCUCGGUCCCGGGCUGGACGCCGAGGGGGCGCGCCGCAGAUUUGGGGACCCCGAAUCUGGGGUCAAAGGGCAGUUUGACGCUCGUUUCUCCUGCGGGGCCGAAGGAGUGCCGGAAUUUCAGCUAAACCCUGGUUACAAGGACUUCAAGCCAGGACCUGAUCGGCCUGCACGCUGGGCACACUGUUCAAGAGGAAGUCUCGUCCUUCGCAGCACACAGGCAGGAUUACUCCGAAAGGA
RNAcentral lists this long non-coding RNA (554 nucleotides) under Homo sapiens (human). Its description in RNAcentral is "HSALNT0256171". The record is from RNAcentral. Lineage: Eukaryota; Metazoa; Chordata; Mammalia; Primates; Hominidae.